This is a long non-coding RNA of Saccostrea cuccullata (small rock oyster), 236 nucleotides long. RefSeq lists it as uncharacterized. The record is from RefSeq and is a predicted model, not a curated record. The transcript has 3 exons. Lineage: Eukaryota; Metazoa; Mollusca; Bivalvia; Ostreida; Ostreidae.
UUAAGGUAAUAAAUCAUGGCAGGGGUUGUUACACGUCGUCGAGCUGAAACAUCUUCACCACUGAUUUCUCCAGUUCCAAGAGAACAAACUCGAUUCAAAAGCACAUGUUCGACACAUAAACAUUCAUACAAAAUGCAGCUAUUCUAUGUCACUUUUGAAUUCGGGCCAUCUGAGCUUAACCUUUUCAAACUUAUUUCGGAGGAGUAAUACUAUGCUUGGAAAGAAACAAAUGAAAC